Molecule: ribosomal RNA, 497 nt
Filed under: uncultured bacterium
Lineage: Bacteria
Description: partial 16S ribosomal RNA
Rfam family: Bacterial small subunit ribosomal RNA
Source: RNAcentral
GAUGAACGCUGGCGGCGUGCCUAAUACAUGCAAGUCGAGCGAACAGACGAGGAGCUUGCUCCUCUGACGUUAGCGGCGGACGGGUGAGUAACACGUGGAUAACCUACCUAUAAGACUGGGAUAACUUCGGGAAACCGGAGCUAAUACCGGAUAAUAUAUUGAACCGCAUGGUUCAAUAGUGAAAGACGGUUUUGCUGUCACUUAUAGAUGGAUCCGCGCCGCAUUAGCUAGUUGGUAAGGUAACGGCUUACCAAGGCAACGAUGCGUAGCCGACCUGAGAGGGUGAUCGGCCACACUGGAACUGAGACUCGGUCCAGACUCCUACGGGAGGCAGCAGUAGGGAAUCUUCCGCAAUGGGCGAAUGCCUGACGGAGCAACGCCGCGUGAGUGAUGAAGGUCUUCGGAUCGUAAAACUCUGUUAUUAGGGAAGAACAAAUGUGUAAGUAACUAUGCACGUCUUGACGGUACCUAAUCAGAAAGCCACGGCUAACUACGUG